AAGAAAAAAGGAAACAAGCCACCCAAUCGCCCACGCGCACCCACGCCACCAGGCCAGGCCACGAACCCUAGCCGCCUCCGCCUCAGCAAUGGCCGGCGUCUUUGCGUCUCGUCGGCGCUGCCAGACACCUCUCCCGCGCGCUCGCCUGCACCACCGGAAGCUCGCGGCGGCGCCUAUCGCGUAGUCGUGCCCGGCGCCGGCGGCCGGCAGGUCCAGGGGCAUGCAGUGAGUGGUGAUGGGUCGCCCCGUCCGGCAGGUCCAGGGGCAUGUAGUGAGUGGUGAUGGGUCGCCCCGGCCGGCAGAAGCUCAGCUCCGCGUCCUUGCUCCACAGCAAGUUUCGGCCUCGUCCCUAGUCGCAGUAACUCCCAUCAAAUCCUGUUUUCCCCCUCUUCCGAUGCGGCGGCUCCUCUUUCCCCAGCCCCUCGUCGAUCGAUUACUCUUCGAUUUGGGCUGCUGCUGCCCCGUCUGGCGGAUCUCCCGGCGAUUCUCAUCGGACAGGUUGCUAUAACGGCCCCUCUCUGUCGCUGCGAUUGCUGUGAGGUGUGAGUCUUGACGGGGGCACCGGCAGCAGCAUCCUUUGGCCUGCCUCUGUUCACCAGAUGAGCACAUGCUCAGGAGCUAAUUUUGAUGUAUGAUCAGGCUGGUCCUGGUGCCGCGUGCACCCGGACCUGUGCCUCUCGCUUGCAUGAUCUGGUGGUCUUCGUCACGUUUCCGUCGACGUUGCUAGGUGUCUGCCGUUGCCACUUACCCCUGCACUGUUGGAUGCUCAGUUUAGUGCCCGUGGCUUCGUUCGCAUGAGCCUCCGGCCCUGUGGCUGGUAUAUGUCUUGAAGUUAGCUUGCACCGCUUCAGGUUGGCCCCCAAUAUCCAAGACAAGCACAUCCUGAAACAGGAAGAGAAAAGGUUAUGCAACUAAUGCAGGAAAAAAGUGACUGCAAUGCCCUUUCUGGGGCACAAGAGCAUGGAAGCUAGGAAGCUAUAAACUGAAGUGCACAAGUUUUUCCACGUGAAUUCAUGGUUCAUGGAGUGAAUCUGGCAGGCCCACUAGCAGGAUAUGACAGUCAUAUGUAAGAAAUGGAUGGUUCUUCCAGCUUCAUGACAUCCAGUAUCUACAUAUGUGCCCAAGGUUGGAAAAAACGCAAGCCAAGCAGGCUGUUGGCCUUUGCGACAGUUUUUAUUAUCAGAGUGUAUGUAUGGUUAUUCUGUGUGUAUUGAUAUUAAUUUAGGGCAUAUAAUUAAGUGAACUAUCAUCUACUACCAUUUGACAUAUCAAUGCAAUAUGUCAUGCUUGAUCGUGUAGGCAAUUUCUUAUUUGCCCUGCCUAGACUUUCACUCAAGGCGAGGCGUUCAGCCAUUACUUAGCACCUAAGCGUGCCUAAGUGGCUUGUAAGCACUGUUUUUUCCAACAAUGUAUGCGCCUGGCUUGUAAGCACUGUUUUUUCCAACAAUGUAUGCGCCUAUUUUUUC
Long non-coding RNA from Hordeum vulgare subsp. vulgare (domesticated barley), 1466 nucleotides. RefSeq lists it as uncharacterized. Lineage: Eukaryota; Viridiplantae; Streptophyta; Magnoliopsida; Poales; Poaceae. The record is from RefSeq and is a predicted model, not a curated record. The transcript has 7 exons.